CCAAAGGCUGUUAUUACAGCCACUAAUUGUUGUAGGCUGUUCUCU
Non-coding RNA from Pygoscelis adeliae (Adelie penguin), 45 nucleotides. Lineage: Eukaryota; Metazoa; Chordata; Aves; Sphenisciformes; Spheniscidae. The record is from Rfam.